Molecule: ribosomal RNA, 202 nt
Filed under: uncultured bacterium
Lineage: Bacteria
Description: partial 16S ribosomal RNA
Rfam family: Bacterial small subunit ribosomal RNA
Source: RNAcentral
GCCUAGAGUGGGGGACAACGUGUGGAAACGCACGCUAAUACCGCAUACGCUCUACGGAGGAAAGCGGGGGAUCUUCGGACCUCGUGCUACUAGAUGGGCCUAUAUUGGAUUAGCUAGUUGGUAGGGUAAGGCCUACCAAGGCGACGAUCCAUAGCUGGUUUGAGAGAAUGAUCAGCCACACUGGGACUGAGACACGGCCCAG